This 253-nucleotide ribosomal RNA is filed under the name uncultured bacterium. RNAcentral's name for it is "partial 16S ribosomal RNA". It matches the Rfam family "Bacterial small subunit ribosomal RNA", at positions 524 to 776 of the family's 1533-position model. The record is from RNAcentral.
UACAGAGGGUGCGAGCGUUAAUCGGAAUUACUGGGCGUAAAGGGCGCGUAGGUGGAUAUGUAAGUCGGAUGUGAAAUCCCCGGGCUUAACCUGGGAAUGGCAUACGAAACUGUGUAUCUAGAGUUGAAGAGAGGGAAGUGGAAUUUCCGGUGUAGCGGUGAAAUGCGUAGAUAUCGGAAGGAACACCAGUGGCGAAGGCGGCUUCCUGGCUUCAAACUGACACUGAGGCGCGAAAGCGUGGGUAGCAAACAGG